GAUGAAGAACGUAGUGAAAUGCGAUAAGUAAUGUGAAUUGCAGAAUUCAGUGAAUCAUCGAAUCUUUGAACGCACAUUGCGCCCGCCAGUAUUCUGGCGGGCAUGCCUGUUCGAGCGUCAUUUCAACCAUCAAGCCCCAGGCUUGUGUUGGAGCCCUGCGGCUGCCGCAGCCUCCCAAAACCAGUGGCGGGCUCGCUAUCACACCGAGUGCAGUAGUUUACUCUUCGCUCAGGGCGUGUGGCGGGUGCUAGCCGUAAAACCCCCAACUUCUCAAGGUUGACCUCGGAUCAGGUAGGAAUACCCGCUGAACUUAAGCAUAUCAAUAAGCGGGAGGA
RNAcentral lists this unclassified non-coding RNA (335 nucleotides) under soil metagenome. Its description in RNAcentral is "partial contains 5.8S ribosomal RNA, internal transcribed spacer 2, and large subunit ribosomal RNA". The stretch from base 1 to 120 matches the Rfam family "5.8S ribosomal RNA", at positions 35 to 154 of the family's 154-position model. The record is from RNAcentral.